AUGGUAAAUUUGAUUCGUCUUCUAGAGCAGCAAGAUUCUGAACGAGGCCGAACACAACAGCGAGGCCAGCUUCAGUUCUCUGAAUCUCCAGUUCCGUGUCGUGAUUUGGAUGGAAUUGGAGACCGUGUCUUUCUCCAACAUAAAUCAAUUUCCAAUGUAGUCGAGUUCGAGUCUCUGUUCUUCUCCAACGCAAAAGCAUGUAGUGCCCGACCCGGAUUGGACUUGGCUGUAAUAAUAAGGAGGGAUCCUCGACCGGAACGUCCAUCAGGCCGCGUCCCUCGACCAGAAUCUCCAUCAAAACUCAUCACAUUGCAACUUUCAGAGAAACAUCCAAUGUCUCUGGCUGAGGAAAAUCAUUCGUCCAGCCGUGCUAUGCCGAGUUCGCUGGCGGAAGAAGAACACCCGUCGAGCCCUCCAUCGCCUGAGGCGGCUACACCAGAGGAGGAAGAGCUCUGCAGAGAUCUCCGAGGAAGCCGGCGCUAUUAUCCAUCGAGAAACGAAACCGGCGGCGUCGAUGGCGCUAGAGCCCUAGAUGGGUCUGAUGCAUCUGUUUCUUUUAAGACAAUACUGCGUCUGGUGCUGUGGAAGUGA
RNAcentral lists this ribosomal RNA (591 nucleotides) under Triticum aestivum (bread wheat). RNAcentral describes it as "partial small subunit ribosomal RNA". The record is from RNAcentral. Lineage: Eukaryota; Viridiplantae; Streptophyta; Magnoliopsida; Poales; Poaceae.